AGAGCGAACGCUGGCGGCAGGCCUAACACAUGCAAGUCGAGCGCGUGUAGCAAUACACGAGCGGCAGACGGGAGAGUAACACGUGGGAACGCGCCCUUCGGUUCGGAAUAACUCAGGGAAACUUGAGCUAAUACCGGAUACGCCCUUACGGGGAAAGAUUUAUUGCCGAAGGAACGGCCCGCGUCCGAUUAGCUAGUUGGUGAGGUAACGGCUCACCAAGGCGACGAUCGGUAGCUGGUCUGAGAGGAUGACCAGCCUCACUGGGACUGAGACACGGCCCAGACUCCUACGGGAGGCAGCAGUGGGGAAUAUGGACAAUGGGCGCAAGCCUGAUCCAGCCACGCCGCGUGGAUGAUGAAGGCCUUAGGGUUGUAAAGUCCUUUUAACGGGAAGAUAAUGACGGUACCGUAGAAUAAGCCCGGCUAACUUCGCGCCAGCAGCCGC
This 444-nucleotide ribosomal RNA is filed under the name uncultured bacterium. RNAcentral's name for it is "SSU rRNA". It matches the Rfam family "Bacterial small subunit ribosomal RNA", at positions 26 to 518 of the family's 1533-position model. The record is from RNAcentral.